RNAcentral lists this ribosomal RNA (254 nucleotides) under uncultured bacterium. Its description in RNAcentral is "partial 16S ribosomal RNA". It matches the Rfam family "Bacterial small subunit ribosomal RNA", at positions 524 to 776 of the family's 1533-position model. The record is from RNAcentral.
UACGUAGGGUGCGAGCGUUUAAUCGGAAUUACUGGGCGUAAAGCGUGCGUAGACGGCUAUCUAAGUCGGGUGUGAAAGCCCCGGGCUCAACCUGGGAAUUGCAUUCGAGACUGAAUAGCUAGGGUGCGGUAGAGGGAAGCGGAAUUUCCGGUGUAGCGGUGAAAUGCGUAGAUAUCGGAAGGAACAUCAGUGGCGAAAGCGGCUUCCUGGACCAGCACCGACGUUCAGGCACGAAAGCGUGGGGAGCAAACAGG